RNAcentral lists this ribosomal RNA (253 nucleotides) under uncultured bacterium. Its description in RNAcentral is "partial 16S ribosomal RNA". It matches the Rfam family "Bacterial small subunit ribosomal RNA", at positions 524 to 776 of the family's 1533-position model. The record is from RNAcentral.
UACGAAGGGGGCUAGCGUUGCUCGGAAUCCCUUGGCGUAAAGCGCACGUAGGCGGAUUGUUAUGUCAGGGGUGAAAUCCUGGAGCUCAACUCCAGAACUGCCUUUGAUACUGGCGAUCUUGAGUCCGGGAGAGGUGAGUGGAACUGCGAGUGUAGAGGUGAAAUUCGUAGAUAUUCGCAAGAACACCAGUGGCGAAGGCGGCUCACUGGCCCGGUACUGACGCUGAGGUGCGAAAGCGUGGGGAGCAAACAGG